This 505-nucleotide ribosomal RNA is filed under the name uncultured bacterium. RNAcentral's name for it is "bacterial SSU rRNA". It matches the Rfam family "Bacterial small subunit ribosomal RNA", at positions 25 to 518 of the family's 1533-position model. The record is from RNAcentral.
CAGGACGAACGCUGGCGGCGUGCCUAACACAUGCAAGUCGAGCGGGGACAUACGACGGAGUCAAAGUUUCGGAUGGAGACAAAGAUGUAUGUUCUAGCGGCGGACGGGUGAGUAACGCGUGAGCAACCUGUCCCUUACAGGGGGAUAACACAGCGAAAGUUGUACUAAUACCGCAUAAGACCACGGAAGGACAUCCUUCAGGGGUCAAAGGAGCAAUCCGGUAAGGGGUGGGCUCGCGUCCGAUUAGAUAGUUGGUGAGGUAACGGCCCACCAAGUCGACGAUCGGUAGCCGACCUGAGAGGGUGAUCGGCCACAUUGGGACUGAGACACGGCCCAAACUCCUACGGGAGGCAGCAGUGGGGAAUAUUGGGCAAUGGGGGAAACCCUGACCCAGCAACGCCGCGUGAGGGAAGAAGGUUUUCGGAUCGUAAACCUCUGUCCUUGGUGAAGAGUGAGAGACGGUAGCCAAGGAGGAAGCCCUGGCUAACUACGUGCCAGCAGCAGC